Molecule: long non-coding RNA, 1940 nt
Filed under: Salmo salar (Atlantic salmon)
Lineage: Eukaryota; Metazoa; Chordata; Actinopteri; Salmoniformes; Salmonidae
Description: lncRNA (ENSSSAG00000095754.1)
Source: RNAcentral
AGCUACAGUAAUCUUUUAGCCAGAUGUGUAAUGCCAGCAGUCUGCUGAAUCUUUCACACCCGCGGCACAACGAUGGUAUUGGACCUGAAAUGAUUGCCGUUUUUUGGAGUCUUUUAAUGCUUAAGUCAGUUCUUUAAAAUCCAUUUUCAGAUGUUCCGAGCUAGCCCUCCUGAUGUCGUUUGACCCAUAUGGACUACGACAGCGUCAGCUCCCGGCAUCUGUGGUAGAACAGUCAGAAGCAGCCUUGUGAUGUCCUGUACUCGUGCUCCUGGGUAGCCUUACGGUCUGGUGAGGAUGGGAGCUCUGAGGAUCUGAACACGAGGUAGAAGCCACCGGAGAGGGAGACAGAACCGAGGACGAAGACGCAGGUACCUCCGGAUUUGAUCUUGAUUGGGAAGCCCCCAAGGAAGAAGGUGCUGGAACCUCUGGAUCCAGGGUGGCAAAGCUGUUUCUGGUCUGUGUCAGGUCCAGGCUCAACAUCUCCAAGGAGACCCACGUUGCCAGAGGACGCUGUCUUCGACUUCCACGGCGAAUGACGUAUCUCCAUGGCUGGUUGGUUGGGUCGAGAACAGCUCCGUUCUCCAGGGAAGGGGGAGACCCCUUCGGGAAUGGAACCCUGCUGAGCACUGGUCAGUCGGCUGCGGAGAGCCGACACGGCAGCAACACUUCCACCAGACCAGAGCGCCAUCCUGCUACUGGGGUGGAUGAAAAAGAAAACGUAGGCGGGCGUGGAUUCCCCAGUAGGUUUGCAAGCAGUGCUACAUUGAAAGUCAACACGGUCCACAUUGUCUUGGAACAAAGCGAAGUAAACACAGCUCCUGCAGCGCUGGAAACGUUCAAUAGCGACCUCCAUUUAAGACCUCCGAGCCAGCUAGGCUAGCUGGGCUUCCGCGUCUCUCCCCCUAUACGGAAUCUGGAGGGAUCCCGGGACAGACAGCAGCGCUGGAAACGUUCAAUAGCGGCCUCCAUUUGAGACCUCCGUGCCAGCUAGGCUAGCUGGGCUUCCGCGUCUCUCCCCAUAUACGGAAUCUGGAGGGAUCCCGGGACAGACAGCAGCGCUGGAAACGUUCAAUAGCGGCCUCCAUUUGAGACCUCCGAGCCAGCUAGGCUAGCUGGGCUUCCGUGUCUCUCCCCUUAUACGGAAUCUGGAGGGAUCCCGGGACAGACAGCAGCGCUCACAGAAACUAAGCUCAACAGAGCUGCAGGAUUCAAAAUCAAAUAAAAGUAUGUAAAAACACUGUCAGCUUUACAAAAACAAUAAACCGAGGUCUCUCGAUCAGCUUUUGGCAUUCAACACUGUGUGUGAAUGGUGUCUGUGUGAAUCGUGUGUGUGUGUGUAUAUACUGUAUGUGAAUUGUGUGUUUGUGAAUGGUAUUUGUGUGUGUAAAUGGUUUCUGUUUGAGAGAGUGGCCAGCAGAGGGAGCUGUUUGUGUAUGAACUAUUAUUGAGUGAAUCGUGUCUGUGGGUGUGGAUGGUGCCUGUGUGUGUGAAUCGUGUGUGUGUGAAUCGUGUCUGUAUAUGUGAAUCGUGUGUGUUUGUGAAGGGUUUCUGUUUGAGAGAGUGGCCAGCAGAGGGAGCUGUUUGUGUAUAAACUAUUAUUGAGUCCAUGUCCAUCACUUCUCUCCUCUAUUGUCUCUAUCCCACCUCUAUUAUACCCAUCCCUCCUCCUCAUUUCCCUGCAACCUCUUCUUCCAAUGAAUGCUACUUUGAGAUUGGCUAGAGUGCAAUCAAUACUUCUCUGUAGUAGAGUUAGAAGAAACCGUGAAGUACAAGUCAGAAACAGGUCUGUAGUAGAAGUCAGGAGAAACAGCUCUGUAGUAGAAACAGGUCUGUAGUAGAAGUCAGGAGAAACAGGUCUGUAGUAGAAACAGGUCUGUAGUAGAAGUCAGGAGAAACAGGUCUGUAGUAGAAACAGGUCUGUAGUAGAAGUCAGGAGAAAC